RNAcentral lists this transfer RNA (76 nucleotides) under Methylocystis sp. RNAcentral describes it as "tRNA-OTHER". It matches the Rfam family "tRNA". Rfam says of the family: Transfer RNA (tRNA) molecules are approximately 80 nucleotides in length. Lineage: Bacteria; Pseudomonadati; Pseudomonadota; Alphaproteobacteria; Hyphomicrobiales; Methylocystaceae. RNAcentral also lists the same sequence under 3 other names. The record is from RNAcentral.
GCGGGUGUAGCUCAGGGGUAGAGCACAACCUUGCCAAUUUUUGCGUUCGAGGGUUCGAAUCCCUUCGCCCGCUCCA